RNAcentral lists this ribosomal RNA (386 nucleotides) under uncultured bacterium. Its description in RNAcentral is "bacterial SSU rRNA". It matches the Rfam family "Bacterial small subunit ribosomal RNA", at positions 28 to 416 of the family's 1533-position model. The record is from RNAcentral.
GACGAACGCUGGCGGCGUGCUUAACACAUGCAAGUCGAGCGGUAAGGCCCUUUCGGGGGUACACGAGCGGCGAACGGGUGAGUAACACGUGGGUGACCUGCCCUCAGCUCUGGGAUAAGCCUGGGAAACCGGGUCUAAUACUGGAUAUGACUCCAUGACGCAUGUUGUGGGGUGGAAAGCCUUGUGCGGCUGAGGAUGGGCCCGCGGCCUAUCAGCUUGUUGGUGGGGUGAGGCCUACCAAGGCGACGACGGGUAGCCGGCCUGAGAGGGCGACCGGCCACACUGGGACUGAGACACGGCCCAGACUCCUACGGGAGGCAGCAGUGGGGAAUUGUUCGCAAUGGGCGCAAGCCUGACGACGCAACGCCGCGUGGAGGAUGAAGACC